ACAAAUAUACAGUUAGUUAUAAACUUUCUACACCAAUUUUGGGACGAGUUGGGCCUAUAUUUUUUUUGUCUACGAAAACCCGUCUAGACCGCUUUUUCGAUUAAACCGGUUUGACUGAUUUGGGUUUAGCGAUUUUGAUCUGCUGGAUUUUUUUUUGCCGCCUCUGGUUCUCGCCGUCGCCGGUUACGUCUCUUCUACAUCCACUCGCUUUCUUGUCUGGUUUGCGAUCUUCGGUGUCUCCCUGUCUGUGCUCUGCUCUCUUUUAGGGGAAUCUUUCUCAAUCGAUAUCCUCAUCUCAAUCACUCUAUAUUUAUUAAUUAUCUCUGUUACCGGACCGGAGACAUAAGCUGAGUUACAUGAUGCUACUACUACUACUACUAGUUGGACAACAGAGAGAAUGCCUUGAAUGAAACACAGAGAAAUGAAGUUUUGGGGAGGCUUUUUAGUGAUCGUUGGUUCCAUUUCCUUUGUUGGAUUUGUGUUUGCAGCUAUAGUCUCCAAAUUGUUUCCACUCUCUCACAAUCCCAUUAUCCAAGCUAUUCAGAAUGACAGGUACUACUGCUUCUUGGCUCCACUGACAUUACCAGCUCUACUGGUUGCUGUUUACUUUCAUUGGCUUAGCAUGAAGCUCUUCAAGCACGCAUGAUACACAUUUACGUAGCAAACAUCUUUCUCCAAGGUGCAUAUGAUGUCUUUGCAGAGGGAACAAUAACAUCUGGUCCGAAGCAUUCUUCUGAGGCUGUCCGAUCACAGUUGUUUUGUCACAUCUCAUGGUUGGAAGGAAUUGUGGAUUUUCUGGAGAUGAGUUUUGUGUAGAAUGCUUAUAAGCACGGUUCGAUUACUACAUUGUUGCAGACUCCGAAAGAUUCAAUAUUGUAACCCGGGAUAUAUCACUGCUACUUUUUUUUUUUUUUGGUGUGCUAUACUUGCUAUUAUUAUCUAUCUUUAGAAAGCAGAUGGUAACCAACUUCACUGA
Molecule: non-coding RNA, 976 nt
Organism: Camelina sativa (false flax)
Lineage: Eukaryota; Viridiplantae; Streptophyta; Magnoliopsida; Brassicales; Brassicaceae
Source: RefSeq, a predicted model, not a curated record